CGUGAGAUCUACCUUAGGAGAGAUAACUUCUGAACGCUGCUAAAUCUUCAUAUGUCGAGAGAUGAAAUAGCUUCGGCGCCUAAAGAUGANNUCGCGCCUGAUUAGCUAGUUGGUGAGGUAAUGGCUCACCAAGGCCACGAUCAGUAGCUGGUUUGAGAGAACGAUCAGCCACACUGGGACUGAGACACGGCCCAGACUCCUCCGGGAGGCAGCAGUGAGGAAUUUUCCGCAAUGGGCGAAAGCUGACGGAGCAAUACCGCGUGAGGGAUGACGGAUUUUGGUCUGUAAACCUCUUUUCUCAA
This 302-nucleotide ribosomal RNA is filed under the name uncultured cyanobacterium. Its description in RNAcentral is "bacterial SSU rRNA". It matches the Rfam family "Bacterial small subunit ribosomal RNA", at positions 116 to 442 of the family's 1533-position model. Lineage: Bacteria; Bacillati; Cyanobacteriota. The record is from RNAcentral.